GCUUCUUGACCAAAUAACUGGUUCUGCAAUUAGACAGAUAUGUUUUGUUGUUCAACUGAUUUUAUUUGUUUUUCUGUAUAUCAAAGAAAGCAUAAUGGAGACCAAACACAAAAAGGCAGGUACAAGUGAGGAGGAAAGAAAUAAGCUUAAUCAAAAAUCUAACAAUUCAUAACAACACUGCCACUAUUAUUGUUCAAUAUUCAUAGGAAUACCAUAUUGUAUAUGAGCAGAGACGUGGCAUUUAAAACCAGUAUGAAUCAAUAAUAAUCAAAAACAGUGAUGGGUAGUAAUGAUACAUCGUAUAAGUAGUAGUACAGAUAUAACAAUAGUGAUAAUCCAAAGUGACAAUGAAACAUAAGAGAAUAAAAAGCAGAUCUCCAUAAAAACCUAUCUAGUUUGGACAGUGCAACACCGUGUCUGUGUGUGCGCGUGUGUGUGUGUGUGUGUAAUCCCAGUCUUGAAGUUAAAGCACUCCAGUCCUUGCUUUACACACAAGAUACAGUUUCCAAGAGUACAAAUUAUUACUCAUGAAAGGUAAAUGUUCCCCUCCACGUUUCAAAAAACACACCAAGUGACUCUUAAUGCCAUGUUCAUGGCUGUGUUCAUUUGAAAUGCCUGUAGCUUGUGCAAAGAUUGUGGACUAGUGCAAGUGUCAAGCCGUGGGAUGUUCUUUACAGUUUGCAUCUACGAACAACUCUCCUGCUCUCUGUCGACCUCAGGAUUUGCUUUUUGGUUUUUGAAUGACAGAAAGCAAAGGGAGGAUUACUUUGGAAUAUCAGUUAUUUGUUUAAUAUAUUUCUUUACAAAAAAUUCAUGUUUUAAGUUUUGCAUGUUUGUUAAAACUAUCAAUAGUAACAUUAAUAUACAACUUAAUUUGAAGGAAAACAUCUUUAGUAUGUUAGGUGUCCUUCAACACAGCACCAUCUUAUUAGCUCUCAGUCAACAUGUUUAAUGUUUUCUAAUUUGCUUUCAAGAUUUCAGUAUUCAUUAGUCCCUUGAGGAUACUAGCAAUACCAAACUUUCUCCCUUGUUGUGGAUUCCAGAUACGAGAUCUCAUUUCACAGCACGUACAUUUCCAGAAGUAGUAACUGUUUCAAAACUGAACAAAACGAGGGGAGGGGGGCAGGGGCG
Molecule: long non-coding RNA, 1131 nt
Organism: Gasterosteus aculeatus aculeatus (three-spined stickleback)
Lineage: Eukaryota; Metazoa; Chordata; Actinopteri; Perciformes; Gasterosteidae
Source: Ensembl